UUUCCAGUGUUAACUUUCAGCACCAUUAGUGAGUAAUCAUUAAUGAAAACUCCUCUAAUUCAUGGGAACCCCUAACGUAAAGGCGAGGGCAAUCAUGAGCGAAGUCCUUAAAGGAAACGUGCAACGACUAGUCGAAAGACGUACGCUCAAGCGAGUGGAAACGGGGAGCAACCUAUUGGGUUGAUGAUAUAGUCUGAACAUUCAUAGAAAUAUGAAG
RNAcentral lists this non-coding RNA (217 nucleotides) under Staphylococcus epidermidis FS1. RNAcentral's name for it is "Group I catalytic intron". It matches the Rfam family "Group I catalytic intron". Rfam says of the family: Group I catalytic introns are large self-splicing ribozymes. They catalyse their own excision from mRNA, tRNA and rRNA precursors in a wide range of organisms. The core secondary structure consists of 9 paired regions (P1-P9). Lineage: Bacteria; Bacillati; Bacillota; Bacilli; Caryophanales; Staphylococcaceae. The record is from RNAcentral.